RNAcentral lists this ribosomal RNA (791 nucleotides) under uncultured marine bacterium. RNAcentral's name for it is "bacterial SSU rRNA". It matches the Rfam family "Bacterial small subunit ribosomal RNA", at positions 59 to 846 of the family's 1533-position model. The record is from RNAcentral.
AAGUCGUGCGAGAAAGUUCUUCGGAUAUGAGUAGAGCGGCGGACGGGUGAGUAACGCGUAGGAAUCUACCUAGUAGAAGGGGAUAGCCCGGGGAAACCCGGAUUAAUACCGUAUACCUCCUUCGGGAGAAAGAAGGCCUCUCCUUGAAGCUUCCGCUAUUAGAUGAGCCUGCGUAAGAUUAGCUUGUUGGUGAGGUAAAGGCUCACCAAGGCUACGAUCUUUAGCUGGUCUGAGAGGACGAUCAGCCACAUUGGGACUGAGACACGGCCCAGACUCCUACGGGAGGCAGCAGUGGGGAAUAUUGGACAAUGGGCGCAAGCCUGAUCCAGCCAUACCGCGUGUGUGAAGAAGGCCUUCGGGUUGUAAAGCACUUUAAGCAGGGAGAAAAAGUUAUAAGUUAAUACCUUAUAACCCUGAUAUUACCUGCAGAAUAAGCACCGGCUAAUUCCGUGCCAGCAGCCGCGGUAAUACGGAAGGUGCAAGCGUUAAUCGGAAUUACUGGGCGUAAAGCGCGCGUAGGUGGUUUGUUAAGUUGGAUGUGAAAGCCCUGGGCUCAACCUAGGAACUGCAUCCAAAACUAACUCACUAGAGUACGAUAGAGGGAGGUAGAAUUCAUAGUGUAGCGGUGGAAUGCGUAGAUAUUAUGAAGAAUACCAGUGGCGAAGGCGGCCUCCUGGAUCUGUACUGACACUGAGGUGCGAAAGCGUGGGUAGCGAACAGGAUUAGAUACCCUGGUAGUCCACGCCGUAAACGAUGACAACUAGCUGUUGGAAGACAAAGUCUUUCAGUGG